GGUAGGACGGGAGGGGGACGCGCUCGCGCGUGCUGGUUCCUUGGAUCCCAGUCUGCUAACCCCCUUUCGUUCUACCACCA
This 80-nucleotide non-coding RNA is filed under the name Acinetobacter baumannii. RNAcentral also lists the same sequence under 1 other name. Lineage: Bacteria; Pseudomonadati; Pseudomonadota; Gammaproteobacteria; Moraxellales; Moraxellaceae. The record is from RNAcentral.